GUCUACUGAAAGUCUGUUAGCUGCCACAAAGAAUAUGGAGGUUUUUAUUUUAGUGGAAACGUGGGCCAAAUGCAAUUAGCAACAUUCAAACAAACAGAAGCUCUUGUUUUGAAGUGUGACAGUGACUCAGAACAGAAAUGAGUGAAAACAUCCAGCCGAUAUGUUUUUGAAGGAUUUUGAUGAUAUAUACUUCUAAACCAGAAAUACCACAUUGAAACUAAGCGCAGAAGAAUGGACUAAAAUGGCAAGCCAAUAUAUUUCAUACGAUUUUCUUUUGCGUGAUUACGUAACAAAGAAGGUAGCAGAUAGACAUGAGACAUAGCCAAAAGGGAAUUAUGACGUUAUUUUGGCGAUCCCACGAUGGACUUUGUUUAAAAAGAAAGUGGAGAAAGCGAGUUUUACCCAAUUCAGCUGCAGAAUUGCAAAUUUCUUCUGCGAUGCGAUCAUGCAAUGAUACUCCAAGUUGAUGCUGGGGAAGGAAAUUUUUCGUAUUUUCUUCACGACUCCAUAAUUCCAUUCGGCUGCUGGCCAUCUGUAGAACCGAAAGUGCUUUCUGUCCAUAUGAUCCUAUGGCAGACUCCCCAGAUAGCAUCAAUGCAUCAGCAUAUUGUCGGACAGCUUCAGAAACAUCUGCAACCUAUUGAACACGAACAGUAUGAAAUAUCAGCCUUCUGGAGAGCACAAGAAGAGCCUUGAAAAGACACUUUUUUAAAUACUUAGAUAGCCAUUUCAAACAAGUCCAAAACUGGAAAUAAUCAAAAGCACAUGUCACUUGUACCUCAGCACGUGUUGGGGUAGGAUAUUCAACCAUGGACUCAAGAAGUUGAGAAGCUAUGAUCACUGGUUUGUUCAGUUCCCUACAGACUCUGGUUAUUUCCUCUUGCACUGCCGGUAUCUGCUCGAGCGGAAUUUCGACCCCAAGGUCCCCUCGAGCCACCAUGAUUCCAUCAGAUGCCUCUAUAAUUUCUUCCAGAUUUUGAAGGGCCUCCAAGCUUUCAAUCUUAGCCAAUACCCUUAUGGAUCUGUGCAUGGAAAAGAGAAUGUACCCUUCAUCACUUGAACGAAGUUUUAAAAUUACCCAAUCUGUUUCAGUAAUCAAAAUUUGCGGAAAA
Long non-coding RNA from Cucumis melo (muskmelon), 1112 nucleotides. RefSeq lists it as uncharacterized. The record is from RefSeq and is a predicted model, not a curated record. The transcript is spliced from 2 exons. Lineage: Eukaryota; Viridiplantae; Streptophyta; Magnoliopsida; Cucurbitales; Cucurbitaceae.